ACGGGUGAGUAAAGUAUCGGAACGUGCCCAGUCGUGGGGGAUAACGUAGCGAAAGUUACGCUAAUACCGCAUACGAUCUAUGGAUGAAAGCGGGGGAUCGCAAGACCUCGCGCGAUUGGAGCGGCCGAUAUCAGAUUAGGUAGUUGGUGGGGUAAAGGCUCACCAAGCUGACGAUCUGUAGCUGGUCUGAGAGGACGACCAGCCACACUGGGACUGAGACACGGCCCAGACUCCUACGGGAGGCAGCAGUGGGGAAUUUUGGACAAUGGGCGCAAGCCUGAUCCAGCCAUGCCGCGUGCAGGAUGAAGGCCUUCGGGUUGUAAACUGCUUUUGUACGGAACGAAAAGGUUUGACUUAAUACGUUGGACUCAUGACGGUACCGUAAGAAUAAGCACCGGCUAACUACGUGCCAGCAGCCGCGGUAAUACGUAGGGUGCGAGCGUUAAUCGGAAUUACUGGGCGUAAAGCGUGCGCAGGCGGUUAUGUAAGACAGAUGUGAAAUCCCCGGGCUCAACCUGGGAACUGCAUUAGUGACUGCAUAGCUGGAGUACGGCAGAGGGGGGAUGGAAUUUCCGCGU
RNAcentral lists this ribosomal RNA (578 nucleotides) under uncultured bacterium. RNAcentral describes it as "bacterial SSU rRNA". It matches the Rfam family "Bacterial small subunit ribosomal RNA", at positions 102 to 676 of the family's 1533-position model. The record is from RNAcentral.